GGACAUGUGCCCGAACGACUAAGGACUACUUUGAUAGAGUAUAACAAAGAGGAUCAAUUCCCCUCAUGUCC
RNAcentral lists this transfer RNA (71 nucleotides) under Hemitheconyx caudicinctus (African fat-tailed gecko). RNAcentral's name for it is "tRNA-Ile". Lineage: Eukaryota; Metazoa; Chordata; Lepidosauria; Squamata; Eublepharidae. The record is from RNAcentral.